UGCACAGGGGAGCUAGUAAACUGGCUGAGAGUAAAAGUGUGACUUUUAGACCCUUAACCUGAACUGGAUAAUACCAGCGUAGGAAGUGUGU
Molecule: non-coding RNA, 91 nt
Filed under: uncultured Clostridium sp.
Lineage: Bacteria; Bacillati; Bacillota; Clostridia; Eubacteriales; Clostridiaceae
Description: TPP riboswitch (THI element)
Rfam family: TPP riboswitch aptamer (THI element)
About the family: Vitamin B(1) in its active form thiamin pyrophosphate (TPP) is an essential coenzyme that is synthesised by coupling of pyrimidine and thiazole moieties in bacteria. The previously detected thiamin-regulatory element, thi box was extended, resulting in a new, highly conserved RNA secondary structure, the THI element, which is widely distributed in eubacteria and also occurs in some archaea. Analysis of operon structures identified a large number of new candidate thiamin-regulated genes, mostly transporters, in various prokaryotic organisms.
Source: RNAcentral